AACGAACGCUGGCGGCAUGCCUAACACAUGCAAGUCGAACGAGACCUUAGGGACUAGUGGCGCACGGGUGCGUAGAGCGUGGGAACCUGCACUUAGGAUCGGAAUAACCCCUCGUCAGGGGUGAUAAUACCGGACAACGUCUUCGAACCAAAGAUAGAUCGCACUUGGAUGGGCCCGCGUUGGACUAACUGGUUGGUAGGGUAAGAGCCUACCAAGGCGACGAUCCAUAGCUGGGUUGAGAGACUGAUCAGCCACGCUGGGACUGAGACACGGCCCAGACUCCUACGGGAUGGAGGAGAGGGGAAUAUAGGACGAUCGAGGAAAGUCUGAUCCAGCAAUGCCGGGUGAGUGAUGAAGGCGGUAGUGAAGUAAAGCCCGUUUAUCCGGGGUGAUAAUGACAGUACCGGGAGAAUAAGCACCGGCUAACUCCGUG
RNAcentral lists this ribosomal RNA (433 nucleotides) under uncultured bacterium. Its description in RNAcentral is "partial 16S ribosomal RNA". It matches the Rfam family "Bacterial small subunit ribosomal RNA", at positions 29 to 507 of the family's 1533-position model. The record is from RNAcentral.